UCCCAGUACCUACCAUACUGCUUCUGUUUGGUUACCAACAGUUUCAGCCAGGGUCACAACACCAUUUAAAAAACACACGAGCAAGACUCCGGCGUUACAGCACCUUUGCAGAAGGAUAUACAGGCCCUGCAUAUGUCAGCUCAGUUACAGGAUGAAUGGACCCUUGGUGCAUGACUCACAAGCUCUUUGCUUCAAAGUAGGACGUGUGCAAACAAUGAGAGCUCAAUCUAUCCCUCUGUCCUGAAGAGGUGACAAGAGACUUCCCUGAUGUCGCACGUUGAAGAACUGAGAAAAGAGCUCACAUCGGCUCCACCAGGCCCUUGCUUCUUUCCCAACCGAUUUCUUCCAAUGUAUGACUCUAGUAAAGGCUCAAAUGUGUCAUCGUUUUGCCAGUCCCACAGCAUAUACACAUUCCCAUAGUUUCAUGGUCUCUGGGCAGUGAGACUUCCCAGGGGCAGCACUGCCUGGGUUUAGUUUCCUUUGGAUGAGAGAGAACUGGAGACCUGUGGCUUUUUUGAAAUACUUGCUUUUAAAAACAAACAUACAAGUCAAGUGGGUACAAAUAGCAAGCCCAGUUCGUUAUUUCAUUCAAAUACAGAGAUUUUGAACUGUCACUUAAUCAUGAGCUCCCACUGAGGAAAUAUCGUUAGUGACUAUGAACCAGUGAUCUGGCUAAUAAAGGAAAAAGUUGGGCAGGUACCCUAACUCUAUGUUAGCAAUGAUUUGUCUCUAAAGGUAGGCAAACGUUAGAACAGUGUCAGGUCUCCAUCAACAUCAAGCUAAAUAGACAUUAUGCAAUAAAUUACAGAUGAUACUCCCAGCAGAAUUUUUUGCUGUGGCAGCAGGUAGUACUUGAAAGCAUCCUCAUAUCUGUUUUUUGUGUGUGUUGAGUCAUCCUGUUUCUUGUAGGAAAGUCCUUUGAAUGUAGAGCCUUCCAUUAUUUUUGAAUCCGCAGUCAUUUGCACACACAAAUACACAUUGCUCAGUGCUGCUAAGUUGCACUUUGCUAUGAAUCAGAACAUUUCUGCCUGGCCUUAAGAAUGCAGCUGUAGGAGAAAACACAAGACAUAGGAAAAGUCAUAGCAUGUCAGUAUCAAACAGGGAGGCAAUGGGCAAAAAUGGAACAGAUUCGACUUCAUCAACUGCCACAGAUGCCAACAUUAAAGUCUUUUACCUGGAAAGGGCUGAGUGGAAGCCUCAAAAAGUAACAACCUGCCAGUUAUUCAGAUUGUAAGCCUGGUGAGGCAUGGGGGACAGGGUGCAUUCUUGCA
Molecule: long non-coding RNA, 1271 nt
Organism: Rhineura floridana
Lineage: Eukaryota; Metazoa; Chordata; Lepidosauria; Squamata; Rhineuridae
Exons: 3
Source: RefSeq, a predicted model, not a curated record